This 232-nucleotide long non-coding RNA is filed under the name Elaeis guineensis (African oil palm). Its description in RNAcentral is "long non-coding RNA (EGUI_LNC000076)". The record is from RNAcentral. Lineage: Eukaryota; Viridiplantae; Streptophyta; Magnoliopsida; Arecales; Arecaceae.
GCCGAAGGAAUUUGUAAGACAAGACUUUCUUUCCAAUGUGACUUCUGCAUAUUCCUUCAUGGACCUCCUUCAAGACGUAGUCCCCCCAAUGGUUGCAAGCAUUUCAGAAGAGAAAGAGAGAAGGAUCUCUUAUAUAACUUUCCUUCAUAUAGGACACAUCGAGACACUUGAUAUUUGAUCUUGCGUGCCUCCUUCCGAUCAGUUGGCAAAAAUCCAUCUUUCACAUAGCGGA